RNAcentral lists this long non-coding RNA (11632 nucleotides) under Podarcis lilfordi (Lilford's wall lizard). The record is from RNAcentral. Lineage: Eukaryota; Metazoa; Chordata; Lepidosauria; Squamata; Lacertidae.
GAUGUUGAAAGACAAGCCAAUUGUUUCCUGAUUUUCUUUUCUUGCUUUGUUCCUUUUGAAUUCUUAAUGUAUGGGAAAUUUGAUUGUGUUUUUCAAUACAGGCUGAGAAUGGCUAACAGAAUGCAAUAAACAGUAAAUUGGCUUCAGAUCAGACCUGCUUCCCUUUAUUUAUUAACAACAGAUUCAAGUGAAAAUUGUUUGAAGGUAAGUGAACACUGAAAUUUAAUGAAAGGUAUCAUUCCAGCUAGACUCACAAAGGAGGGAAAGUCCUGUUCCAACCGAUGCAGGUAUACACAGAAGAAAAUUUUGGGAUUUCAUAGUUUAGAGUAGAAACCAAUAUAUACAUACAGUAGUAUAGAAUAAAUAUAUGCAAUAAAUGCUAGAUAUGUGGAAUAACAUAAAAUAUUGAAUUAGGGUGCUGUCCUAACUCUAGAUCUGCUGAGAAUGAGCAAUUUAUGAUUGGGCAAAUCUCUGGCUCAGGCAGCAGGUUCUCAGCUCAACCAGGCUAGGCCUGUGUGCGUCCCCAACCAUGACUCAGCUGGAGAUACACUGGUGUAACUCCUUCAUCCUGGCUAAGUUAGGGCUAAGCCAGCUGAGUUGAGGGGGGGAAAAAAAGGCAUUCUACAGGAAUAGCAGGAACAGGAUCGGAGGAUGAAGGACUUAUGCUGGAUUCAUACUCCAUUGAGCUCUAUUAAUGUGACCUGGCAAGCUGGUGGAAUUUACAAUGACAACAAGGGUGAUGAAAGUCACACUCUAUUUUAAAAUUUUGCUUUCCAUUUGCCAGGCUUAGGCUGGCUCAACCAGCAACAGCCCCACUCCACAUGGAGUUUGGAUCUGGAGUAUUUUAAUACUGGUUAAAUUUGAGGUGACAUAAAUUAAGCUGACUCGUCAUAUUUAGGAUUGAUCCCAAUGUUAUAUAACAGCAGACUAGCCUAUAAGUAAUAUUGUGGUCCCCCACCAUGUAUGUGAGCAGAGGUCCUUUAGGGAUGUUGUUAAAUGUUGUUCCUACAUUCUGGACUGAGCUGAACACAGACAUCAGUCAGCAUCCGGUCCUCCCCACUCUCUUUUGUGGUCCUUGUGUGCAAAACCCGAAGCUUGGAAGACAUAAUAGUUUCCACUGCUAACUAAUCUUCAUCUGAUAUAUUCAUUUUAUGUUGAAAACAUGGGAGGGAGACAACGUGAGAAAAUCUACAAGGUUUACAUCCAUUAUUAACUGGGGGGAGGGGAUAGAAUUUUAGGAAGCAGUGGAUUGUUAUCCAUUACAUGCCAAUACAUCCCUUCACCCCUGUGUUAUGAAACACAGCACAAACCAAAGCCAUGGAACAAGAAAGGAAAGCCACUUAGCCCUGUUCCAAUAAAGACCAGGCCAAAGACCCAAAUCAUUGUAUGCUAUUACAACGGUUUUGUUCAAGCAAGUUAUAAGCAAGAGAUAUACUUUUUGGGGUGUGUGCUUUCUUAUAGAAAUGUCAUUUCUCAAGAAGGGGGGAAGAUAAGGAAAUGAUGUAAUUAUUGAUCAUUGAUAAUCCUCAAAUAUGUUCUUAGUACUGAUACCUAGCCUUGCUGCCCAGAAUACAAUUUUACAAUAAUUAAUGUUGCAUUAUAAAGAGAAAAAUGCUGUAAAUGCAGUUAGGAAAGCUGUCCAUAUUGCCAGGUGAAAUCUAUCAUAGUUAUUGCAGUAAAAAUAUGACGUAUUGAAUCAAUCAUGUUUCAAAAAUUAUGCUAUGGUGUUAAGGAACACAGUUUAAAUGCACUGGGAAACAUUACUGCUAGCUAUCAUUUUGGAGAAAAACAAAAUUAGGAACAUGGUAGUUGAUGAUUAUGAUGCUGAUUUAUUAAUUUUUUUAGUCACUUUAUCUUGCCCAAGGCAACCAAUAGCGACUUACAACCAAACAGCCAAACAAGAUGAUAGAUCUGAAAACUAUGCCUGUUUAACCUAUCCAGCCUGUGUCUUUGCAUUUAGAUAAAUGAUCAAAUUGAAGGAAUAGGUGGAUAAAGAAGAGCAACCAGGAAAAGGGAACUUUAUGUCUUCCAUAUUUCCGAUCCACAGUCCACAUGCUAUUUGCAUUUAAAAUGCACCACACAAAUGUGUGUAGAUAUUUUAUCACAGAAUCAUAGAAAGAGCAUGUAACAGUAUUAAUUCCCAAUGGAGAUGGCAUGGGACUGGAAGAAAAUGGGCUGUGUAUCUGGGGCAUGCAGUACACGUGUAUGCAUUAUUACUCAGAAGAAAGUCCCAAUGUGUCCUAGGGGGCUUAUCUGGCAACCAAAGAAACUUAUGAUGAUGGAAUGAUUGUAGUAGCAUGCCACUGAAUUUUACGUUCAGUGUUACGCAGCGUCUGAAAAUGUGUUGCUUCAGUGGUAGCAGUUCACGUGAACAUUGCCCCUUCUCUCCAUAAAAUUCUUCCUUGUCUAUUGAGUCUGGUACUAGGCAAUGAUUCUUCAUCCAUGUAACUUAAUUUAGGAUUUGGAAUAUUUUUCCCUUCCCAAAUGGGGAAUUUGGCCUCUGUGUCUUUCUACAUAUUAAAACUGAAACUGAGUUAUGUUGCUUUCUCAUGGCUGAGUUUCUCAGAAUUAUCAUUUGCAUAUACCUCAGAAGGCUGAAAAACCUUGUGGGGGGGAAUAUAAUCUUUGUGGGCUGAAUUUGGUAAUAAAUUGUAGGCAAGUCUUUUUUGGAAGACUUGAAUCCAGCCCGGUUUCAGACAGAUGUCUGCACUGGUUCUCUUGCAAGGAUUACCAUUACAGUCUUUAAAAAGGUAAAGGUAAAGGACCACUGACAGUUAAGUCCAGUUGCAGACGACUCUGGGGUUGCGGCCACUCAUCACACUUUACAGGCUGAGGGAGCUGGCGUUUGUCCGCAGACAGUUUUUCCAGGUCAUGUGGCCAGCAAAACUAAGCCGCUUCUGGUGAAACCAGAGCAGCACACGGAAACGCCGUUUACCUUCCCACCAGAGUGGUACCUACAGGUGUGCUUUUGAACUGCUAGGUUGGCAGGAGCUGAGACCGAGCAACAUGCGCUCACCCCAUCGCAGGGAUUCAAACCACCGACCUUCUGAUCGGCAAGCCCAAGAGGCUCAUUGGUUUAGACCACAGCACCACCCGCGUCCAUUACAGUCUUAGGGUGAGCUUAAAAAGUAAUCCUAAAUAAAGGAAGUGGUGAAAUUCAUACUGGCUUAAUUUAAAUCAGUGUAAAUUACGCCUUUUCCAAAUUCCAUUCAGGAGCUAUCACUAGCUGAGCUGGCCUAAGUCCGACGGAGGGGGAAAAUGUUGAACUAAAUUAGGGACCAGCAUAAGUACCCCUUGCUUGGUCAUGCCCCCACCCCAGUACCCCAUUUUUCAUGGCCUACAGCAACAUCAAAUCCACCAGUCUCAGUCUAGCCAUCUAAGCCCCAGUUAAUGCUGGAUGAGGUACUUGUGCCAGCAUAUCUCUGGCUGAGCCAGGAUAUGGGGCUUGUUUGGGCAUAGUUCAGUUGCGCUGAGAAUCAGCCAGCUGAGUCAGAGAUCUGCUGGCUCCUCACAUGUGCAUCCUGGUGAAUACUGGGUUUGGUUUAAUCUUUGCUAGCAUUUGUGUGUAAUGUGUCUGAAAAUGGCAGACACUUUCAAAUCACCCAGAGAUCUACCAGAAGAUCCAGAAUGACCUUUUACCCAUCAGUGCUCUGAGGUUAUGAUAACUGCAGGAGCUUCUGUUCUUCUGCAUAACCCUAACAUUUUUGAUAUGACUGGCUCCUCCCACACCUCUUCCUUCCUUCAUGUCAGUUCAGUUUCAUCUCUUCACUGAGAGCCAGUGUGGUGUAGUGGUUAAGAGCGGUAGUCUCGUAAUCUGGGGAACCGGGUUCGCGUCUCCGCUCCUCCACACGCAGCUGCUGGGUGACCUUGGGCCAGUCACACUUCUUUGAAGUCUCUCAGCCCCACUCACCUCACAGAGUGUUUGUUGUGGGGGAGGAAGGGAAAGGAGAAUGUUAGCCGCUUUGAGACUCCUUAAAGGGAGUGAAGGCGGGAUAUCAAAUCCAAACUCUUCUUCUUCUUCAUUUUCUGCAUUUCAGAAUCAUCCUAUUUCCCCCAUCCAGUCAUUUUGCCUCUUCAGUCCAUUGAUUUAUAAAACUAAGUAGGUGUCAAAUACUGUGGUAUUAGGGGAGAACUGGACGAAAGAGAAUAUUUUCCCCCUAUGCAAUGUAGAAAGUAAGCAACACGUUAGGUCAGCUCUGCAGUAGAAAUGUCAGUAUUGCCAGGAGGAAAGCCAUGAUCCGUGUUUGUGCUCUCAAGGAUUUCAAAAUGAAAAGAAGUCACUGUAUACAUGAUAUAAGAUCACAUGUGCCUUUAUGAAUAAAGUUAACAAUCCUCAUCCCCUGAAAGUUUAAAAAAAUAUAUUAAUUAAAUCAUCCAUACAGACUGUUCACUAUGGCUGAGCAGAUAUAUGUACUGUUUUGUUAAUGAACCUAACAAUGUUAUUUUAGAGCCUGGUUCAAAUAUUGACAAUUGUGUGGGUAUUUAUAGGUCUCUUGUUAAAAAGUAAACAUUUUUUCCCCCUCAUUUUUUUUUUUUUUGGCACAUAAAAAGAUGCCCAUUCCAGAUGAUUUUAUUAUUUUUACCCUCAAUUCAAUAUAUGUCCAAUUUUUCUCGUUUGAAUGGCUUCCUGUGGUUUCUGUAUAUUUUGCUGCUUUGGGAGCUAAAAAUAGAAGAUGAAAGUGCCACUGUGCCUAUUGGUGUACAAAUAAAACCCAUCAAUGGAAAUUUGGCCUUCUGAAGAAAUGUCAUGUUUUCACACAAAGCCUCAUGUUCUACUCAAGUUUCUGAAGCUUCAGAUAAGAGCAUAAUUCUUUAGCGCUACUUCAUGGAAUUAUACAGAGAACGAUGAGACAUUUCUAAUGUAAAAUAUGCAUUUAUAUAUUUUCUCUUACUAUGACAUCAUCACAUUUUGAAACGGAGCAAAAGUUGCACUUUGACAUCACAUUUUGCCAAUUCAGCUGUGAAAUGUGAGGGCACAACUCCCAACAGGAAUCCGUCGGGCAAAUCAAUUUAUUUCUGCAGCAUGUCAAUUUCAUAUCUGUUCAUCAUGUGCUGCUGCUGCAUUCAUUAGUGGUUCUGCCACCAAAAAUAAAAUAAUAAUCUGUACCAACCCCCCCCCAUUAAAAUACAUAUCACUUUCAAAAUACACAGUUCUAAACAUAUUUUUUCCUCAUAAUGCACAAUGCGCUCUUAUUUUAUUUCAAAAUACUUAUUGCAAGAUGCAUUUUGAUCGGUGUGAACUGCUAAGAACAGUGUUGUGGCAUUUAGUAAGUGCAGAGUUAAGUUUUGAUCUGCAGUGAAUAUUAGGGAGCAAUCCUAUGCAUAAGAAGCUGGCAUAAACUGAGGUGCUAUAAGAUAGCCUGGGGUAAAGCUAUACCAGAUCCAGGCCCUGUUCAGCAGAGGGACUGCUGUUAGCUGCUGAGCCAAAGGCUGGCAGAGGGAAAACAAGCCUUUGAAAUAGUGUUCUAAAACAGGUUGCCAGGUCAUGUGUCUAAGCUGAACAGGCUUAGGUUCCAGUCUCUCCCCUCUGGCCCUGGCCCUAGCACCCCCUUGGGAAAUGGGGGUUACAUUGCCUUUGACUAAGCCAGCUUUUCUGAAGGAAAUCAGCCCUGAGUGCUCACUGGAAGGACAGAUCGUGAAGCUGAGGCUCCAAUACUUUGGCCACCUCAUGAGAAGAGAAGACUCCCUGGAAAAGACCCUGGUGUUGGGAAAGAUGGAGGGCACAAGGAGAAGGGGACGACAGAGGACGAGAUGGUUGGACAGUGUUUUCAAAGCUACUAAUAUGAGUUUGACCAAACUGCGGGAGGCAGUGGAUGACAGGAGUACCUGGUGUGCUGUGGUCCAUGGGGUCACGAAGAGUCGGACACGAUUAAAUGACUAAACAACAACAAAGCCAGCUUUGGUUGAGAUGGCUGAGCCCUGGCUGUGCUGAGAUGAGCAUGUUGCAUUGGCAUAUCUUCAGGUAAGCCAGGGUUGGGGACUUGACACCUGCUGAGCCAGUGAUCAGCUGUAGUCUCAGCUGCUCAACCUGGUAGAUCCUGCUUCCUUUACAUUGCAGUCCAACUGAGGCAUGUGAAAACCUGGCUGUCAGCCCUGUUUGCCUCAGGCUCCACACCUCAAAUAUUUAUUAGUGUAUAUUUAAUUUUACAUACUGCUUUUCCACCUUUGGUGUGGUUUACAACUGAGCAAAUCAUAGAUGGUUGAACAUCACUGAUAGACAUUUUAAGAAUCCGCUAAUUAUGUUACAGUAGAUUCAUUAACAUUAUCAGAAGAAAGUAGGGCAAAUAUUCCCAGUAUAGGAUAACCUCAUAAGUGACAGAAGUGGUGCCCGUAAAAAUGUUUCUUUGAAUUCACUGGGAAGUGGAGGGAUUAUGAGAAAGAAUUCUCCAGGUUAUUCUGGACAAAGGUAUUUAAAAGCUUUGAAGGUCAAAAACAGAUAUAAAUUGCUAUGUAUUACCUGUCAUGGUUGCCAUUUCAUUGUAGGGAUGGAGGAAUCAUUUCAUUACUAGCCCAUGUCUCUCAUCUGCUGGUUUAUAAAUCCAGUUAUAAAUUCAUAUUUUAUUGCUGUUUUAUUGUUGUUGUUGGUAUUCUGUUGGGAGCCGCCCAGGGUGGCUGGGGGAACCCAGCCAGAUGGGUGGGGUAUAAAUAAAUUAUUAUUAUUAUUAUUAUUAUUAUUAUUCCACCCUGCUUCAGUCAUUUUUAAAAAAGUGUUUUGUUAUGCUUCUUGAGCCAAGAACUGUGCCAGAACAUUCAAGACAUGUGAAAGCUAGUGGAUAAUUAAGUUCCAAUCCGCCUAUUCGUCCAGGGGGUGCAGAUCAGAUCAGCUCAUAUCAGAAUUUACAAUGAUCAAAUUCCUCAAGCAUCUCUGUUUCUUGAUAUACAGAAGCAAGCCUACAGGGCCUGCUAGCUUGUUAUUUUAUAAAAAAUCCUGUUAUUUUAGGAAUGCUAGACAUUACAGUGCAGUAAGUGUGCUUAGAAUGAAGCUACAGAAAAAGUAACCUUUUCAAUUUUGAAAGUAUUUUUUAAGUUGUGUGUGUGUGUGUGUGUUUGCAAAUACAUAAUCUGGUGUGAUAGCCUUAUAGAAAUUCUAAAUUUUUAUAAAAAUCCAGCAAACCUAUAGCUGGCGCCCUUACUCCAAGAGUUUUUCACAGGUGCUUUGAUUUGCUAAAUGUCUUAAGACAUAAUUCAUUCUCCUCUCCUCUUUAAAAGGAAAUUAAUGAAGUAGUAACAGUGAUACAGUAUCAGAACUGGCACUGACCUGCUUCGCAGAAAGGUUUUAGAACCAGUGUGCAGCCUUAGGAAAUUCUUUCCCGCCCAGCUGAAAUCACAUACAGAAUGUUUAAUGUCAGGACAACCAUUCAUUGCUUAUGAAAACUGGUCAGCUUUAGUUUAAAAUUGUUUAAAAGAUCCAUGGCCUUUGAAUUAAGGAGGAAUACCUGCUUGCGCACUCUCCAUUACAGCUCAAAAGCUCCUGCUCACAGCGGAGCUUAGAGAGCAAACUCUGUGUCAUGAGUUCAGCUCAAUUACGCCAAUGCCCAGGCAAGUCUGCAUUGCAGGCAAGAUCUGUGCAGGGUACUAUUCAACGGUUCAAAGACUGAACCGUCCAAUUUGCAGAAGAUAAUCAGAUGUGUCAUAAUCAUUCUCACUGAAAAGGCACUUCUGGAGAGGAUUUUUCAUUGAUGACAAACAUAUGGAGUGACAAAAGGGAGCAGGUGUGAAAUUGUCUUAUAUAAUAUAGAGAGAUUUAGCAUCUAGCUGAGCUUUCCUAGGGUAUAUCAGCAAAUUUAUAAUCUUGCCUUUAAACCCCCUCCCUCUAAAAGAACCUGUUCUUAGAGAUGCCAGUCAUCUUCAUCUUAAUUUUAAUGCAAUUCAGCAAUUGCAUAAUUUGUUAUCUUAGCAAUGGGUGUGUUUAUUGAAGCUUGAAUCCUGGCAAGAUGGAGUUACUUUAGGUGAGUGGGUCCCAUGUUUGAGAAAUUGACCCACUGCCUAUAAUGGAUAGGGUUCUUCUUCCCCUGAAAGAGCAACCAUGCAGUAAGGUUCUGCUUUUGGAUCUAGCAUUGUCACUGGAAGUGCAUAAUAUCUGACCAUUGGCCAUGCUGGCAAUGACUUGAUGGGAGUUGGACUGUAAAAACAUAUGGAGGGCUGCUAUUUUCCCAUCCUUGCUUCAAAACUGUAAAGAGAAUGGUUGCUUACCAGUCCCGGAGUGGGCGACUGUUGCGGCCAAUCACGACUGGCUCCCACCCUCAGGGAUCAGUGCUGGGGCUAAGCAGCUGGCAGUUGAAGAAUUCCCAAUUUGCACCCAGUGAAUUGUAGUUGGAGAAGUUUAACCACUGAGCCUAGGGCUUGCCGAUCAAAAGGUCGGCGGUUCGAAUCCCCGCGAUGGGGUGAGCUCCUGUUGUUCGGUCCCAGCUCCUGCCAACCUAGCAGUUCAAAAGCACAUCAAAGUGAAAGUAGAUAAAUAGGUACCACUCUGGCGGGAAGGUAAACGGCAUUUCUGUGCACUACUAUGGUUCGCCAGAAGCGCCUUUGUCAUGCUGGCCACAUGACCUGGAAGCUGUAUACCGGCUCCCUCGGACAGUAAAGAAAGAGGAGCGCCGCAACCCCAGAGUCGUCUGUGACUGGACCUAAUGGUCAGGGGUCCCUUUACCUUUAUAUGGGGAGCGAAUGAGGCUUCUUUAACUCCUCAAACAUCCAUUGUCAAGCAUAGAUUUUUAAAAUGAACUGUCAGUGAAUAAGUGGGGAUAAACAAAUCAUGGUAAAUUGCUAUAUGCCUCCUUUUUUACCUAUUCCACUCCCUUCACAAUUCAGAGAAUCAUAGAAUUUUGGGUUAGAGUGGACUCUGAGGGUCAUCUAGUUCAACUCCCUGCAAUGCAGGAAUCUCAGCUAAAGCAUCCUUGACAGAUGACCACAUAACCUCUGUUCAAAUACCUCCAAUGAAGGAGAGUCCACCACUUUCCAAGGGAGUCCAUUCCACUCUCAAACAGCUCUUAUUUCAGAAAGCUUUUUCCAGAUGUUUAGUCACAGGUCACAGGUCUUACCCUCCAGAACAGGAUAAAACAAGCUUGCUCCAUUUUCCAUGUGACAGCCCUUUAGAUAUUUGAAGAUGGCUAUCAUAUAUCCUCUCAGUCUCCUCUUAGGCAGGCUAAACAUACCCAACUCCCACAACCAUUCCUCAUAAGGCUAUAGGGAAGUUUUUAAUGUUUGAUGUUUUAUUGUGUUCAUAAUAUUUUGUUAGGAGCUGCCCAGAGUGGCUUGAGCAACUCAGUCGGGUGCCAUAUUAAUAAUAAAAUUAUUAUUAUUAAAGUAUUGGUUUCCAUAUUCUUGCUCAUCUUUUAAAUUAAGCUAAAACACUCAUUUACCAGCUUCCUUGUCUUGACUAAUGACUCAGCUACACAGGGCAAUUUAUAACAUUAUAAAUGCAUUCUAAUAAUGUGACACCAGAUGGUGCUGUAGAGCAGCAAUCUUAAGUGGUUGAAAAUUUCCAUUGGGAGCUGUAUUCUUAUAGCAUUUUUAAUAGUUUUUUUUAAAAAAUAUUUGUGUAGAUCCAGCCUAAGCCCACAAAGGAAUGGUUGAGGACACAUGAAAAUGCAGCACUCCUCUCUGCCUAGUGUAGUUUUCGCUGACUCUCAAAGCAAGGUAUCUCAACAUAAUGCUUGGCAUUGCCAGCAUCAGUAAGAAAAGGACCAUGCAAUAAAUAAGCAGAAAACCUUGAAAUGCAAGUUAAAUGAACCACAGAAAUAUCAAAUCAAUUGAAAGCCUCAAGGAAACUUGCAUACUGUAUAUGUAAAGAAAUUCCAGGCUAGUAGAUGGUUGAGGUUUUUUCCCCCUUAGAAAUGAUUCAGCUAUGGAGAUUGAUUUGUUUUCUAGAACAUUCAUAUGAAGUCCCAGAUUGUUGUGUAUACUCCUCUGCAAAUAGCUAUGUUCAGGUUUGACAUAUUUAAAUAAUGUUAUGAAAAGGGGGAUCUUCUGAGAACAUGCUGCUCAAUUAAUUCUCCAGUGAUGCCACUUCUGCAUACUGAAAUUAUUCACAAAUUGUGUUAUAUUUCAGCUUGCUUAUGAGCUGCCAUUUGGCCAAAAAGUUCCCUCAGGGCAACGUAGGGCUACUCAGUACCAAAUGAAGUCAUUGGAGCAGUCAUCCGGCAUUUUGGAGUAAGGCAUCAGUUCUACUUCUUCGUUAACUUUUGAAUUAUGAGAGACUGUAAAUGUUCUGGAUCAGUGCAUAGAUGGACUGGUGGACUGGAUGAGGGUCCAUAACUGUGCUUGAACCCCCCUGUGGGGGUUGGGGAGAUAGGUAAGUCAGCUAUCCUUGAUGAGGUUUCACUUCCUCUGAAGGAGCAAGUACAUAGACUGGGGCUACUUCUGGACACAUGUUUGUCAUUAGAGGCCUAAGUGAGGUAUGCCUUUUACCAGCUUUGUCUGUUUCACCCACUAUGGCUGUUUCUAAAUAGGUAUAGCCUGCUGUAGCCCAUGUGUUGAUAACCUUGAUGCUAGAUUACUGCAAUGAUCUCUAUGUGGGCCUGUCCUUGGCUUAGUUUAGAAGCUCCAGCUAGUGCAGAAUGCAGCAGCCAGACAGCUGGUGUGGGCACCUGGCUGGCAACAUCUGACACCAGUGAUAAAGCAUAUAUACUGCUUCCCCAUCCGUUGCUGAGCCAGGUUCAAAGCCCUUCAUAUUAAUAUGCAAAGCCCUGGGCAUUGACCCCAAAUGCAGCCUUUAGUGUUAUUGCUCCAGUCCUGUGGAAUGCUCUGCCAAUAGAGAUUCAGCCGGCACCUCCUCCUCCUUCAACCUUCAAACCCCUCCUGAAAUCUCUUGCACUCUGCCAGGCUUAUGCAGGCAAUCAUGAAUAUAUCUUUCCAUAAUAGUUAGUUGAUAGUCUCAGAUUUUAAUUUUUAUGUGUUUUUGUUAUAUAGAGAUAUUAUUGCAAACUACUUCAAUAUCUUUUAUGAUAUAGUGGUAUAUAAAUAUUUUGCAUAAUUGCUCUGUUAAGCCAGGGCAAGGAACAAAAGGCUGACACGAAAAACAGUAAAAUGCUUCUGAGAUAUGGGCCCACAGACAUCAUCAAGCUGGUCCUCUUCAUCAUGAGGGCUAGAAACUUGUUUUUUUUUUUAAGUACAAAGAAGGGGGGGAAAGAACUAGAAAUUAUCCAGAUGCUGAAUUCUGCAGUCAUUACUAAAAGUUAUUGUUGCUUUUAAAUCUCAAAGUGGUUGGUGCCAUAUUUUUGGGACGCCAGGAAAUCAAUCCUUGCGCUUUGGCAAACAAUGGCUGAGUUUUGCAAGACAGAAAUGAGAAUCGCCAUGGGUUUUGAAAAGAAUUUAUCCUGAUCUUUCAUUUUUCCUUCUCAGAAAAGACAGCACUGCAUUGUUACACUAUUCGAUAUCGUAUGCAUAACAAAUGGAACAUGAGAGGAACAGUCUUCCGCUCUAUCCAAAGCCUGGGGUGCACCCCACUUUCAGCUGCGAUUCCUGAAAGAAGACAGUGGUAGAUUCCAAGAAUCCAGGCUUCAUGACAAAUGUAAGCACAUUUCGAUGACGAUCACACAUCUCCAGAACAAGGUUCCCAUCGUCUCAUCUCAAUUCUUACUCCCCACCCCCUAGAACAGGUGAGCAGGAUGAUGCCUGGAUUGGGGUAGAGAGA